RNAcentral lists this ribosomal RNA (253 nucleotides) under uncultured bacterium. Its description in RNAcentral is "partial 16S ribosomal RNA". It matches the Rfam family "Bacterial small subunit ribosomal RNA", at positions 524 to 776 of the family's 1533-position model. The record is from RNAcentral.
GACAGAGGGUGCAAACGUUGUUCGGAAUUACUGGGCGUAAAGCGCGUGUAGGCGGCCAUGCAAGUCGGAUGUGAAAGCCCUCGGCUCAACCGGGGAAGUGCACUCGAAACUGCAAGGCUAGAGUCUCGGAGAGGAUCGUGGAAUUCUCGGUGUAGAGGUGAAAUUCGUAGAUAUCGAGAGGAACACCGGUGGCGAAGGCGGCGAUCUGGACGAUGACUGACGCUGAGACGCGAAAGCCAGGGUAGCGAACGGG